AUGGGUGGAUUGCUAAGUUCAUAUCAACAAGUACAAGAAUGGAAGGCCAUCGAAGAAAGUAAUAUUAGGGAUAUUGUUAGAGGGAAAGAUGAGAUCAUGUCCAUCCUAAAGUUGAGCUAUACACACCUAUCAUCUGAAAUGAAGCAAUGUUUUGCAUUCUUAGCAAUUUUUCCCAAGGACUAUAAGAUAGAUAAGGACAUGUUGAUCCAGCUAUGGAUGGCAAAUGGUUUUAUUCAAGAGAAGGAAACAAUGGAUUUAACACGGAAAGGUGAAUUCAUUUUUGAUGAGUUAGUUUGGAGGUCCUUCCUCCAAGAUAAGCAGGAGUGCACACACAAUUAUGCUACACACAAUUAUGUGACUAUUGACUGUAAAAUGCAUGAUUUGGCAAAAGAUGUCAGAGAUGAAUGUGCAAGUAUAGAAGAAUUGACUCGGCAAAAAACAUUGUUAAAAAAUGUUUGUCACAUGCAAAUGUCAGAGGCUGAAUUGGAACAAAUCAGUGGGUUAUCCAAAGGCAGAACAAACCUCCGCACUUUGUUAGCUCCUUCAGAAUCACACAAGGGUUUUAAAAAGUUGCUACGGGCAUCAGCAUCACUAAGAGCAUUGCAUUGCUCCCCUUCUUCAGUUGCCAAUUGCAAGGCCAUAAACACGAAACAUCUACGAUAUCUUCACCUUUCUUGGUCUAACAUCACUAAGUUGCCAGAAUCAAUAUGUGUGAUGCAUAACCUGCAAACAUUGAGCCUCACUCAUUGUCAUAUGCUGCAGCAUUUACCAGAAGACAUGUCAGGAUUGAGAAAGCUCAUCCAUCUAUUUCUCUGUAGUAGUGCUCAUCUCAAAAGUAUGUCUCCAAACUUUGGUGUACUAAAGAACCUUCAUAUAUUAACAAAAUUUGUUGUGGAUACUGGAGAAGGCCUUGGAAUAGAGCAGCUCAAAGACUUGCAACACCUUAGCAAUAGGUUGGAACUAUUAAAUUUGAGCAAGACAAAAAGUGGGGAAAAUGCAAAAGAAGCCAAUCUCAAUCAGAAGCAAAAUCUAAGUGAGUUGUUGUUCUCUUGGGGCCAAGAAAUAGAUGACGAGUCUAAGGAUAUGGCAUGUAAUGUGGAAGAAGUUGGAGAUACGUAG
This 1119-nucleotide ribosomal RNA is filed under the name Triticum aestivum (bread wheat). RNAcentral's name for it is "partial small subunit ribosomal RNA". Lineage: Eukaryota; Viridiplantae; Streptophyta; Magnoliopsida; Poales; Poaceae. The record is from RNAcentral.